AUACGUAGGGGGCGAGCGUUGUCCGGAAUGAUUGGGCGUAAAGGGCGCGUAGGCGGCCCGGUAAGUCUGGAGUGAAAGUCCUGCUUUUAAGGUGGGAAUUGCUUUGGAUACUGUCGGGCUUGAGUGCAGGAGAGGUAAGUGGAAUUCCCAGUGUAGCGGUGAAAUGCGUAGAGAUUGGGAGGAACACCAGUGGCGAAGGCGACUUACUGGACUGUAACUGACGCUGAGGCGCGAAAGUGUGGGGAGCAAACAGGAUUAGAUACCCUGGUAGUCCACGCUGUAAACGAUGAAUGCUAGGUGUAGGGGGUAUCGACCCCUUCUGUGCCGCAGUCAACACAAUAAGCAUUCCGCCUGGGGAGUACGGCCGCAAGGUUGAAACUCAAAUGAAUUGACGGGG
RNAcentral lists this ribosomal RNA (397 nucleotides) under uncultured bacterium. RNAcentral's name for it is "partial 16S ribosomal RNA". It matches the Rfam family "Bacterial small subunit ribosomal RNA", at positions 523 to 918 of the family's 1533-position model. The record is from RNAcentral.